Molecule: ribosomal RNA, 918 nt
Filed under: uncultured bacterium
Lineage: Bacteria
Description: bacterial SSU rRNA
Rfam family: Bacterial small subunit ribosomal RNA
Source: RNAcentral
GCCCUUAGAGUUUGAUCCUGGCUCAGGAUGAACGCUGGCGGCGUGCCUAAUACAUGCAAGUCGAACGAAUCUUCUUCGGAAGAUGAGUGGCGAACGGGUGAGUAAUACAUAGGUAACCUGCCCCUGUGCGGGGGAUAACAGGAGGAAACUCCUGCUAAUACCGCAUAGCCAUGAGCACCGCAUGGAGCUCAUGCCAAAUAUCCUUCAGGGGAUAGCGCAGGGAUGGACCUAUGGCGCAUUAGCUAGUUGGCGGGGCAACGGCCCACCAAGGCAACGAUGCGUAGCCGGCCUGAGAGGGCGGACGGCCACAUUGGGACUGAGACACGGCCCAGACUCCUACGGGAGGCAGCAGUAGGGAAUUUUCGGCAAUGGGGGAAACCCUGACCGAGCAACGCCGCGUGAGCGAAGAAGGCCUUCGGGUCGUAAAGCUCUGUUGUAAAGGAAGAACGUCGCAUGCAGGAAAUGGUGUGCGAGUGACGGUACUUUACCAGAAAGCCACGGCUAACUACGUGCCAGCAGCCGCGGUAAUACGUAGGUGGCGAGCGUUAUCCGGAAUCAUUGGGCGUAAAGAGGGAGCAGGCGGCCGCAAGGGUCUGUGGUGAAAGACCGAAGCUAAACUUCGGUAAGCCAUGGAAACCGGGCGGCUAGAGUGCGGAAGAGGAUCGUGGAAUUCCAUGUGUAGCGGUGAAAUGCGUAGAUAUAUGGAGGAACACCAGUGGCGAAGGCGACGGUCUGGGCCGCAACUGACGCUCAUUCCCGAAAGCGUGGGGAGCAAAUAGGAUUAGAUACCCUAGUAGUCCACGCCGUAAACGAUGGUCACUAAGUGUCGGGGGUCAAACCCCGGUGCUGCAGUCAACGCAAUAAGUGACCCGCCUGAGUAGUACGUUCGCAAGAAUGAAACUCAAAGGAAUUGACGGA